CAGUCGCCGCGGGAAUACGAAGGGGGCUAGCGUUGCUCGGAAUGACUGGGCGUAAAGGGCGCGUAGGCGGAUUGUUUAGUUAGGCGUGAAAUUCCUGGGCUUAACCUGGGGACUGCGCUUAAUACAGGCAGUCUAGAGUGAGGAAGAGGGUUGUGGAAUUCCCAGUGUAGAGGUGAAAUUCGUAGAUAUUGGGAAGAACACCGGUGGCGAAGGCGGCAACCUGGUCCUUGACUGACGCUGAGGCGCGAAAGCGUGGGGAGCAAACAGGAUUAGAUACCCCGGUAGUCCCUGUCUCUUAUAA
Molecule: ribosomal RNA, 301 nt
Filed under: uncultured bacterium
Lineage: Bacteria
Description: partial 16S ribosomal RNA
Rfam family: Bacterial small subunit ribosomal RNA
Source: RNAcentral